UCAUUUCGUCACGCUUCGCCUCGUUUCAUCACGCUUCGCCUCAGGUUGGUGUUGAUCUCCAAAACAGUGUGAAUCGAUUUCGAUUUCGUUUUUAAGAUUGUUUAUACGGCUUUGACUCUUGAGUUUCUACUUUUUGAUGUGACUGGGAUGGUAGUCAGAUUUUAGCUUCCCCGAGGUCUUUGUUAGAGAUUGGAUAGGAAUUGCAAUUUCGAUUUCUGAUUUUGGGAAUUGGGAGAUGGAUUUGAUCCGAUUGUUAUAGAUGUAGAUGAGAGCCGUGCAAUGGUUUUGAAUUGAUUUUGUGGGAAGCUUGAUGUGUAAUUGAAGAUAUUUCUUUCAAAUUAUUGGCACCUCUUUAGGAUAUUUGGUCUGAUUAGCGCUUCUUGUAGGCCGUCUCCGAACCUUGCUUUUUUUGUUUGGUUUGUCUAAUUUCUCAUUCCUUGCCUUGUCUCAUGGAUUCCGUUAGUCGGGGUACCGGGUUUCUAAGGAAUGAAUGUAUGAUACAUUCUGCUUUGUGGCUUCAACAAGAUACUUUGUAUGUUUUCCUAGGAAUUUUUUUCAAAACCAGAAGGAUAAGUCAAACAUUGCCUUUGAUCCUUCUCUUUCUCUUUUGCAUUUAGUUGGGGUAAGGAUAGAUACUUCAGACCAUAUGCUUUAAUCCUUUCCAUGAAUUGACUGGAUUUGAGAUACAAGUCUUUAGUUUGCCUGAUGACUGCUUGAUAUCUAAAUCUUUAAAACAAUAAUAGUAUUCAGUAUUUUAUCGUAGGCUGUUCUGAGAGGGGAUUUGAUGCUCUUUCCUAAUUAUUUUCUAUUUGUACUCUCAGCUUAAGUAAGUUUUUAUCCGUGUAUUGCAGGCAUUUGACAUAGCUUUCCUUCAAAGUUCAUUGUCAAUUGUAUCAUUUGUUUGUAUGCUUUUGGAAUUGAAAGUACUUUUUUUUUUUGACAUCGAAAUAGAAUCUAAAAACUACUCUGCAGCCGUUAGACUAGCUUCAGGGGCUAGCCAUAUGGGCGCAAAGACACUAACUGAGGGAUUUAGCUUGCGUAGUCGGCCACCUUUGGCGAGUCUGUCCGCACAUGCAUUCUGUGAUCUUGGGAUAGCAGAUAUAGAGAAGCUUGAGAAAUCAGAGGAUAAUGUUUUAAUCUCGUCUAGCUCCGGCGCUAAGGCUGGCCAUUCCAUAUCGG
This 1179-nucleotide long non-coding RNA is filed under the name Brassica napus (rape). RNAcentral's name for it is "long non-coding RNA (BNAP_LNC018179)". The record is from RNAcentral. Lineage: Eukaryota; Viridiplantae; Streptophyta; Magnoliopsida; Brassicales; Brassicaceae.